This 395-nucleotide unclassified non-coding RNA is filed under the name soil metagenome. Its description in RNAcentral is "partial contains 5.8S ribosomal RNA, internal transcribed spacer 2, and large subunit ribosomal RNA". The stretch from base 1 to 120 matches the Rfam family "5.8S ribosomal RNA", at positions 35 to 154 of the family's 154-position model. The record is from RNAcentral.
GAUGAAGAACGUAGCGAAAUGCGAUAAGUAAUGUGAAUUGCAGAAUUCAGUGAAUCAUCGAAUCUUUGAACGCACCUUGCACCUUUUGGUAUUCCGAAAGGCACACCUGUUUGAGCGUCAUGAAUACCUCAAUCUCCAUCUUUUCUUCGGAUUGAUGGGUGACUUGGAUGUUGAGCCCUGCUGGUAUGCUAUAUCAGCUGGCUUUAAACUUAUUAGCCGGCUCUGUACUGGAUCGGUUUGACUCGACGUGAUAAUAUUAUCGUUGAGGAUGCAUGUCUCAUGCAGCCGGAAAGUAUCAAAGCAGCUUCUAGCUUGCCUUUAGUGCACUUUUACAUUUUAGACCUCAGAUCAGGUGGGACUACCCGCUGAACUUAAGCAUAUCAAUAAGCGGAGGA